CGAAGCUUAGUACUUGUUGAUCGCCAUUGGAUGUUGCGGGCAAAAUCGGGAGGCGACAUCGCUCGUGGCGGCUGAUGGCUUUUGACAACAGAACGGCAAAGCGUCGUGCAAGGAGCGCCGCAAGGUGCCGUGCGCAUGGGGCGAAGCUUAGUAAUGUUGUUGAUUGCCAUCGGUUGUUGUGGGCUGUGUCUGGAAUCUCUUGUGGCAGAGCCUCGUGCAAGUAGCGCUGCAAGGUGCCGUGCGCAUGGGGCGAAGCUCAGUAGAUGUCGAUCCCAUCAGUUGUUGCGGGCAACAUCGCUCAUGGCGGUUGAUGGCUUUCGGC
Molecule: long non-coding RNA, 322 nt
Filed under: Nicotiana benthamiana
Lineage: Eukaryota; Viridiplantae; Streptophyta; Magnoliopsida; Solanales; Solanaceae
Description: long non-coding RNA (NBEN_LNC003428)
Source: RNAcentral